This 736-nucleotide ribosomal RNA is filed under the name uncultured soil bacterium. Its description in RNAcentral is "bacterial SSU rRNA". It matches the Rfam family "Bacterial small subunit ribosomal RNA", at positions 31 to 762 of the family's 1533-position model. The record is from RNAcentral.
GAACGCUGGCGGCAUGCUUUACACAUGCAAGUCGAACGGCAGCGCGGGGGCAACCCUGGCGGCGAGUGGCGAACGGGUGAGUAAUAUAUCGGAACGUACCCAAGAGUGGGGGAUAACGUAGCGAAAGUUACGCUAAUACCGCAUACGAUCUACGGAUGAAAGCAGGGGACCGCAAGGCCUUGUGCUCGUGGAGCGGCCGAUAUCUGAUUAGCUAGUUGGUAGGGUAAAGGCCUACCAAGGCAUCGAUCAGUAGCUGGUCUGAGAGGACGACCAGCCACACUGGGACUGAGACACGGCCCAGACUCCUACGGGAGGCAGCAGUGGGGAAUUUUGGACAAUGGGCGCAAGCCUGAUCCAGCAAUGCCGCGUGAGUGAAGAAGGCCUUCGGGUUGUAAAGCUCUUUUGUCAGGGAAGAAACGGGUUUGGCUAAUAUCCAGAUCUAAUGACGGUACCUGAGGAAUAAGCACCGGCUAACUACGUGCCAGCAGCCGCGGUAAUACGUAGGGUGCAAGCGUUAAUCGGAAUUACUGGGCGUAAAGCGUGCGCAGGCGGUUUUGUAAGUCUGUCGUGAAAUCCCCGGGCUCAACCUGGGAAUGGCGAUGGAGACUGCAAGGCUAGAGUUUGGCAGAGGGGGGUAGAAUUCCACGUGUAGCAGUGAAAUGCGUAGAGAUGUGGAGGAACACCGAUGGCGAAGGCAGCCCCCUGGGUCAAGACUGACGCUCAUGCACGAAAGCGU